GGAUGCCUACGGGGCGCAGCAGUGGGGAAUAUUGCGCAAUGGGCGAAAGCCUGACGCAGCGACGCCGCGUGAGGGAUGAAGGUCUUCGGAUCGUAAACCUCUGUCAGCAGGGAAGAACGGUCACUGUGCUAAUCAGCAGUGAAUUGACGGUACCUGUAAAGGAAGCACCGGCUAACUCCGUGCCAGCAGCCGCGGUAAUACGGAGGGAGCGAGCGUUAAUCGGAAUUACUGGGCGUAAAGCGAUCGUAGGCG
Molecule: ribosomal RNA, 252 nt
Filed under: uncultured bacterium
Lineage: Bacteria
Description: partial 16S ribosomal RNA
Rfam family: Bacterial small subunit ribosomal RNA
Source: RNAcentral